Molecule: non-coding RNA, 161 nt
Organism: Solanum tuberosum (potato)
Lineage: Eukaryota; Viridiplantae; Streptophyta; Magnoliopsida; Solanales; Solanaceae
Source: RefSeq, marked provisional
UUCUUUGCCUAAUUCUGGUAUACCAACAAUUGAGAUAACAUCUAGGUUUGAUGAUCUUUUGAUUAGCUAAUUGUAUAGUUAUCACCUGUACACUUGCACAAAAUUAUUAUUGAACCUUGAUGUUAUCUCAGUGUUGGCAUGCAUAAAUUGGGUAAAUUUAU